CUCAGCACUCAGGCACUCAGAGAAAGGCUGGUCUCUGGGCUUGAGUGAGAAUAACAGAAAUUUCAACCAGGAGAAGAAUUUCUAUCAUGCUCUGCCCUGGUCUGCUGUGGGCAUUCUUGGCUGCCUUUGGCUUCAGAUCCAGCAUGGCUCAGAAAGUAACCCCAGCUCAGACUAUAAUAACAAGGAAUGAAGGAGAAACUGUGACCAUGAGGUGGAAGUAUGAAACCAGUAGGAGCAAUUAUUAUACUUUGUUCUGGUACAAACAGCCUCCCAGUGGAGAGAUGGCUUAUCUUAUUCAUCAGGAUCAUUCGAAGCCAGAUGUAAAGCAGGAUCGCUUCUCUGUGAACUUUCAAAGAGAAGAAAAAUUCAUCAGCCUCACCAUCUCUUCCUUACAACUGUCAGACUCAGGAGUCUACUUCUGUGCUCUCUGGGGUCCCACAGUAAUAGAAAUGAUGGUGGAAGGUAAUCAAAAACCUUAGAGCUCCAUCAAUGCUGCCACCUGCUCAGAGGCUUGGGGAAAACCCAUGAACCACAGACAGGAAGAAGCCAGGCACUGUGGAACCACAGCUGAGACCUUCUAAUG
Molecule: non-coding RNA, 583 nt
Organism: Equus caballus (horse)
Lineage: Eukaryota; Metazoa; Chordata; Mammalia; Perissodactyla; Equidae
Source: the annotation of a RefSeq genome assembly